This 676-nucleotide ribosomal RNA is filed under the name Streptomyces malaysiensis. RNAcentral's name for it is "bacterial SSU rRNA". It matches the Rfam family "Bacterial small subunit ribosomal RNA", at positions 61 to 751 of the family's 1533-position model. Lineage: Bacteria; Bacillati; Actinomycetota; Actinomycetes; Kitasatosporales; Streptomycetaceae. The record is from RNAcentral.
GUCGAACGAUGAACCGGUUUCGGCCGGGGAUUAGUGGCGAACGGGUGAGUAACACGUGGGCAAUCUGCCCUGCACUCUGGGACAAGCCCUGGAAACGGGGUCUAAUACCGGAUACGACGCGUUCCCGCAUGGGAUACGUGUGGAAAGCUCCGGCGGUGCAGGAUGAGCCCGCGGCCUAUCAGCUUGUUGGUGGGGUGAUGGCCUACCAAGGCGACGACGGGUAGCCGGCCUGAGAGGGCGACCGGCCACACUGGGACUGAGACACGGCCCAGACUCCUACGGGAGGCAGCAGUGGGGAAUAUUGCACAAUGGGCGCAAGCCUGAUGCAGCGACGCCGCGUGAGGGAUGACGGCCUUCGGGUUGUAAACCUCUUUCAGCAGGGAAGAAGCGUGAGUGACGGUACCUGCAGAAGAAGCGCCGGCUAACUACGUGCCAGCAGCCGCGGUAAUACGUAGGGCGCAAGCGUUGUCCGGAAUUAUUGGGCGUAAAGAGCUCGUAGGCGGCUUGUCGCGUCGGAUGUGAAAGCCCGGGGCUUAACUCCGGGUCUGCAUUCGAUACGGGCAGGCUAGAGUUCGGUAGGGGAGAUCGGAAUUCCUGGUGUAGCGGUGAAAUGCGCAGAUAUCAGGAGGAACACCGGUGGCGAAGGCGGAUCUCUGGGCCGAUACUGACGCUGAGG